CCUUCGAUAGCUCAGUUGGUAGAGCGGUGGACUGUAGCGGUGAGCGCGCACACAUGGGCGCACACAUAGUUAUCCAUAGGUCACUGGUUCAAAUCCGGUUCGAAGGA
This 107-nucleotide transfer RNA is filed under the name Anopheles stephensi (Asian malaria mosquito). RNAcentral describes it as "tRNA tRNA-Tyr". It matches the Rfam family "tRNA". From Rfam's summary of the family: Transfer RNA (tRNA) molecules are approximately 80 nucleotides in length. Their secondary structure includes four short double-helical elements and three loops (D, anti-codon, and T loops). Lineage: Eukaryota; Metazoa; Arthropoda; Insecta; Diptera; Culicidae. The record is from Rfam by way of RNAcentral.